AACGUACGCUGGCGGCACGCCUAACACAUGCAAGUCGAACGAAGUAGCAAUACUUAGUGGCAGACGGGUGAGUAACAUGUAGGUAUCUACCCUUUGGCCUGGAAUAACACGAGGAAACUUGUGCUAAUACCGGAUAAGUCUUUACGGAGAAAGCUUUAUGCACCAUUGGAUGAGCCUGCACUUGAUUAGUUUGUUGGUAGGGUAAUGGCCUACCAAGACUAUGAUCAAUAGCUGAUUUGAGAGGAUGAUCAGCCACAUUGGGACUGAGACACGGCCCAAACUCCUACGGGAGGCAGCAGUGGGGAAUCUUGCACAAUGGAGGAAACUCUGAUGCAGCGAUGCCGCGUGAGUGAAGAAGGCCCUUGGGUUGUAAAGCUCUUUCGUCGGGGAAGAAAAUGACUGUACCCGAAUAAGAAGGUCCGGCUAACUUCGUGCCAGCAGCCGCGGUAAUACGAAGGGACCUAGCGUAGUUCGGAAUUACUGGGCUUAAAGAGUUCGUAGGUGGUUGAAAAAGUUGGUGGUGAAAUCCCAGAGCUUAACUCUGGAACUGCCAUCAAAACUUUUCAGCUAGAGUGUGAUAGAGGAAAGCAGAAUUUCUAGUGUAGAGGUGAAAUUCGUAGAUAUUAGAAAGAAUACCAAUUGCGAAGGCAGCUUUCUGGAUCAUUACUGACACUGAGGAACGAAAGCAUGGGUAGCGAAGAGGAUUAGAUACCCUCGUAGUCCAUGCCGUAAACGAUGUGUGUUAGACGUUGGAAAUUUAUUUUCAGUGUCGCAGCGAAAGCGAUAAACACACCGCCUGGGGAGUACGACCGCAAGGUUAAAACUCAAAAUGAAUUGACGGGGACCCGCACAAGUAGUGGAGCAUGUGGUUUAAUUCGAAGAUACGCGCAGAACCUUACCAACACUUGACAUGUUCGUCGCGACUCUAAGAGAUUAGAGUUUUCGGUUCGGCCGGACGAAACACAGGUGCUGCAUGGCUGUCGUCAGCUCGUGUCGUGAGAUGUUGGGUUAAGUCCCGCAACGAGCGCAACCCUCACUUUUAGUUGCCAUCAUUAAGUUGGGCACUCUGAAAGAACUGCCAGUGAUAAGCUGGAGGAAGGUGGGGAUGACGUCAAGUCCUCAUGGCCCUUACGUGUUGGGCUACACACGUGCUACAAUGGUAUCUACAACAGGAAGCGAAAACGGCAACGUUAAGCAAAUCCCGAAAAGAUACCUCAGUUCGGAUUGCACUCUGCAACUCGAGUGCGUGAAGCUGGAAUUACUAGUAAUCGUGGAAUCAGCGUGCCACGGUGAAAUGCGUUCCCGGGUCU
This 1310-nucleotide ribosomal RNA is filed under the name uncultured bacterium. RNAcentral's name for it is "bacterial SSU rRNA". It matches the Rfam family "Bacterial small subunit ribosomal RNA", at positions 28 to 1381 of the family's 1533-position model. The record is from RNAcentral.